RNAcentral lists this ribosomal RNA (720 nucleotides) under Microbacterium sp. BAR29. RNAcentral describes it as "bacterial SSU rRNA". It matches the Rfam family "Bacterial small subunit ribosomal RNA", at positions 153 to 882 of the family's 1533-position model. Lineage: Bacteria; Bacillati; Actinomycetota; Actinomycetes; Micrococcales; Microbacteriaceae. The record is from RNAcentral.
GAAACGGCGUCUAAUACUGGAUAUGUGACGUGACCGCAUGGUCUGCGUCUGGAAAGAAUUUCGGUUGGGGAUGGGCUCGCGGCCUAUCAGCUUGUUGGUGAGGUAAUGGCUCACCAAGGCGUCGACGGGUAGCCGGCCUGAGAGGGUGACCGGCCACACUGGGACUGAGACACGGCCCAGACUCCUACGGGAGGCAGCAGUGGGGAAUAUUGCACAAUGGGCGCAAGCCUGAUGCAGCAACGCCGCGUGAGGGACGACGGCCUUCGGGUUGUAAACCUCUUUUAGCAGGGAAGAAGCGAAAGUGACGGUACCUGCAGAAAAAGCGCCGGCUAACUACGUGCCAGCAGCCGCGGUAAUACGUAGGGCGCAAGCGUUAUCCGGAAUUAUUGGGCGUAAAGAGCUCGUAGGCGGUUUGUCGCGUCUGCUGUGAAAUCCGGAGGCUCAACCUCCGGCCUGCAGUGGGUACGGGCAGACUAGAGUGCGGUAGGGGAGAUUGGAAUUCCUGGUGUAGCGGUGGAAUGCGCAGAUAUCAGGAGGAACACCGAUGGCGAAGGCAGAUCUCUGGGCCGUAACUGACGCUGAGGAGCGAAAGGGUGGGGAGCAAACAGGCUUAGAUACCCUGGUAGUCCACCCCGUAAACGUUGGGAACUAGUUGUGGGGGUCCAUUCCACGGAUUCCGUGACGCAGCUAACGCAUUUAAGUUCCCCCGCCUGGGGAAGU